AAUGGGGGAAACCCUGAUGCAGCCAUGCCGCGUGUGUGAAGAAGGCCUUAGGGUUGUAAAGCACUUUCAGUGGGGAGGAAAGGGUGGAAGCUAAUACCUUUCAUCUGUGACGUUACCCACAGAAGAAGCACCGGCUAACUCCGUGCCAGCGGCCGCGGUAAUACGGAGGGUGCAAGCGUUAAUCGGAAUAACUGGGCGUAAAGCGCACGCAGGCGGUUGGAUAAGUCAGAUGUGAAAGCCCCGGGCUCAACCUGGGAACUGCAUUUGAAACUGUCUGACUAGAGUCUUGUAGAGGGGGGUAGAAUUCCAGGUGUAGCGGUGAAAUGCGUAGAGAUCUGGAGGAAUACCGGUGGCGAAGGCGGCCCCCUGGACAAAGACUGACGCUCAGGUGCGAAAGCGUGGGGAGCAAA
RNAcentral lists this ribosomal RNA (410 nucleotides) under uncultured bacterium. RNAcentral describes it as "bacterial SSU rRNA". It matches the Rfam family "Bacterial small subunit ribosomal RNA", at positions 370 to 772 of the family's 1533-position model. The record is from RNAcentral.